Molecule: transfer RNA, 68 nt
Filed under: Marmota monax (woodchuck)
Lineage: Eukaryota; Metazoa; Chordata; Mammalia; Rodentia; Sciuridae
Description: tRNA.Ala
Rfam family: tRNA (bases 5-65)
About the family: Transfer RNA (tRNA) molecules are approximately 80 nucleotides in length. Their secondary structure includes four short double-helical elements and three loops (D, anti-codon, and T loops).
Source: RNAcentral
GGUUUGUGGCUCAGAGAUAGAGCCCUCACUUAGCAAGUGUGAGGUUCUGGGUUCGAUCCUCAGCACCA